RNAcentral lists this ribosomal RNA (274 nucleotides) under uncultured bacterium. RNAcentral's name for it is "partial 16S ribosomal RNA". It matches the Rfam family "Bacterial small subunit ribosomal RNA", at positions 523 to 796 of the family's 1533-position model. The record is from RNAcentral.
AUACGUAGGAUUCGAGCGUUGUCCGGAUUUAUUGGGCGUAAAGGGUGCGUAGGCGGACCUGCAAGUGCCUUGUGAAAUCCCACGGCUUAACCGUGGAACUGCUGGGCAGACUGCAGGUCUUGAGCUCGGUAGAGGCUGUCGGAACUCUAGGUGUAGCGGUGAAAUGCGUAGAUAUCUAGAGGAACGCCCAUGGUGAAAACAGGCAGCUGGGCCGACGCUGACGCUCAGGCACGAAAGCGUGGGGAGCGAAUGGGAUUAGAAACCCCAGUAGUCC